RNAcentral lists this ribosomal RNA (527 nucleotides) under uncultured Desulfobacteraceae bacterium. RNAcentral's name for it is "bacterial SSU rRNA". It matches the Rfam family "Bacterial small subunit ribosomal RNA", at positions 21 to 523 of the family's 1533-position model. Lineage: Bacteria; Pseudomonadati; Thermodesulfobacteriota; Desulfobacteria; Desulfobacterales; Desulfobacteraceae. The record is from RNAcentral.
GGCUCAGAAUGAACGCUGGCGGCGUGCGUAACACAUGCAAGUCGAACGAGAAAGUCCGCUUCGGUGGAUGAGUAAAGUGGCGAACGGGUGAGUAACGCGUGGGUAACCUGCCCCUGAACCUGGAAUAACUUCGCGAAAGCGAGGCUAAUACCGGAUAUUGUCCCAGGGACCUUGGUCCUUGUGAUGAAAGAUGACCUCUUCACGAAAGUUGUCGUUCAGAGAGGGGCCCGCGUACCAUUAGCUAGUUGGUAGGGUAAUGGCCUACCAAGGCGAGGAUGGUUAGCUGGUCUGAGAGGAUGACCAGCCACACUGGCACUGAAACACGGGCCAGACUCCUACGGGAGGCAGCAGUGAGGAAUUUUGCGCAAUAGGGGAAACCCUGACGCAGCAACGCCGCGUGAGUGAAGAAGGCCCUCGGGUCGUAAAGCUCUGUCAAGUGGGAAAAAAGCUUGCUGGUGAAUAGCCAGUAAGACUGAUGGUACCAUUGAAGGAAGCACCGGCUAACUCCGUGCCAGCAGCCGCGGUAA